Molecule: ribosomal RNA, 389 nt
Rfam family: Bacterial large subunit ribosomal RNA
AGGGUGAAAGGGUUGCAAUAAACUGGUGGCUGCGACUGUUUAAUAAAAACACAGCACUCUGCAAACACGAAAGUGGACGUAUAGGGUGUGACGCCUGCCCGGUGCUGGAAGAUUAAAUGAUGGGGUGCAAGCUCUUGAUUGAAGUCCCAGUAAACGGCGGCCGUAACUAUAACGGUCCUAAGGUAGCGAAAUUCCUUGUCGGGUAAGUUCCGACCUGCACGAAUGGCGUAACGAUGGCCACACUGUCUCCUCCCGAGACUCAGCGAAGUUGAAAUGUUUGUGAUGAUGCAAUCUACCCGCGGCUAGACGGAAAGACCCCAUGAACCUUUACUGUAGCUUUGCAUUGGACUUUGAAUCAAUCUGUGUAGGAUAGGUGGGAGGCUUUGAAG